UAAUCCUCAAACAUUGAGUCUAUCAAUUGACUUUGCUUCUAAAGUGUGAAAAUUGUCUUUUUGAAUUUUGAUCUGAGAACUAUACAAAUGGACCUCAAUAUUGUCGUAAUAUGUGAAGUCUUCCUUAAGAAUGCUCUAAGUACCUGGCUAUGGAAGAUAAAAUGAAAAUUACUACAAUAAAAUCAUAAUUCUAAUAGAACACUCACAAGGCUGAACAAGCUUUAAUCAAAUUUAGAAAAACCUCAAAAGAAUUAUAAAGAAAAAAAAUAAAUCUUAAAGAAAUAUUGAAAUGAUUACAAACAUAUCUCAAAUACAUCUCAAUUCAAUCUUAAUUUAAUCCUAGUUGAAAUCUUAUUGGACUUCAUUCAAACUUUAGGCAAAAAACUGACUAAAUCUUAAAUCCUAAAUAAAUUCAAAUAAAACCCUAAAUCUUAAAUCAAACCCUAAUCAAUCCUAAACCAAAUCCUAACCAAAUCCCAACCCUAAAUCAUACCCUAUCCAAACUCCAAAUCCUAAAUCAAACUCUAAUUCUAAAUUAAACCCUAACCAAAUCCUAAUCCUUUAAAAAAUUUAAACCACAAUUACUAAUGAAUGAACAAUUGAUAUUAACUCAAAAUUUGCAUGCUUUAUAAAAAUUAAAUUGAAAACAAGCACAAAAAAAUUGAAAAUGAUAGGAAUUACCUAAUAGACAAUUGCCUAAAAAACAUGUUUGGAUAUUGAUCCGCCUUCUUCUCAAACCUAGAUACUAAUCUCCUAAAGCCAAUAUCUCUCUUUUUCAUCAUUUAAUUAAUCUCAAAUUUCUCAUACACAUAGAAAAACAAGUUUAAUAUCCUCACAUUCAAAUUUCACUCUGAUCCAAGAAGUAGAUUGCAAGAAAUCUUUAAA
This 885-nucleotide long non-coding RNA is filed under the name Physcomitrium patens. Its description in RNAcentral is "long non-coding RNA (PPAT_LNC009034)". The record is from RNAcentral. Lineage: Eukaryota; Viridiplantae; Streptophyta; Bryopsida; Funariales; Funariaceae.